AACGAAUGACAGCGUGCAUGUCAUUACUUGCGCGUAAUAAACAUUCCUUAAACGCUUGGUAACUGGUGAUGAAAUGUGGAUACUUUACGAAAACCCUAAACGGAAACGGAGCUGGUCCCAACGAAAUCAGCCACCUCAACGCUGUGCAAAACCAGGGUUACAUCCACGUAAAGUUCUUUUUUAGAAAAAUUAAGGGAAGCUCUAGCUGAAAAACGACCAGGUUUAGUGAAUAGGAACAACGUUAUCAGCGUCAGCAUCUAUUUCUUCCGUUAGUGAGCUG
This 280-nucleotide unclassified non-coding RNA is filed under the name Bombus terrestris (buff-tailed bumblebee). RNAcentral's name for it is "misc RNA ENSBTSG00005029778.1". The record is from RNAcentral. Lineage: Eukaryota; Metazoa; Arthropoda; Insecta; Hymenoptera; Apidae.